RNAcentral lists this ribosomal RNA (458 nucleotides) under uncultured bacterium. RNAcentral describes it as "partial 16S ribosomal RNA". It matches the Rfam family "Bacterial small subunit ribosomal RNA", at positions 28 to 507 of the family's 1533-position model. The record is from RNAcentral.
GGUGAACGCUGGCGGCGUGCUUAAGACAUGCAAGUCGAACGGGCUCUUCGGAGCCAGUGGCGCACGGGUGAGUAACGCGUAACUGACCUACCCCAAAGUCGCGGAUAACGAUUCGAAAGAAUCGCUAAUACGUGAUGUGCUGUCAGAUCCUGUUCUGCCAGUAAAGAUUUAUUGCUUUGGGAUGGGGUUGCGUUCCAUCAGCUAGUUGGUGGGGUAAAGGCCCACUAAGGCGACGACGGAUCGCCGGCCUGAGAGGGUGGCCGGCCACAGGGGCACUGAGACACGGGUCCCACUCCUACGGGAGGCAGCAGUUAGGAAUCUUCCACAAUGGGCGAAAGCCUGAUGGAGCGACGCCGCGUGAGGGAUGAAGGUCCUCGGAUCGUAAACCUCUGAAUCAGGGACGAAAGACGCGAAAGCGGGAUGACGGUACCUGAGUAAUAGCACCGGCUAACUCCGUG